This 229-nucleotide unclassified non-coding RNA is filed under the name root metagenome. RNAcentral's name for it is "partial contains small subunit ribosomal RNA, internal transcribed spacer 1, and 5.8S ribosomal RNA". The record is from RNAcentral.
UCUCCGUUGGUGAACCAGCGGAGGGAUCAUUACUGAGUCUAACAAACUCCCAAACCCCUGUGAACAUACCUACUGUUGCUUCGGCGGGACCGCCCCGGGCGCCUUCGCGGUGCCCCGGAACCAGGCGCCCGCCGGAGGCCCCAAACUCUUAUGUCUUUAGUGGUUUUCUCCUCUGAGUGACACAUAAACAAAUAAAUAAAAACUUUCAACAACGGAUCUCUUGGUUCUG